RNAcentral lists this small RNA (480 nucleotides) under uncultured Resinicium. Its description in RNAcentral is "eukaryotic LSU rRNA". The stretch from base 117 to 270 matches the Rfam family "5.8S ribosomal RNA". Lineage: Eukaryota; Fungi; Basidiomycota; Agaricomycetes; Hymenochaetales. The record is from RNAcentral.
AAUUAACAAGUGCUCAUUCUAAUCUACAAAUCCACUCAUUACUUAACACCUGUGAACUUAUCUAUUAUAAACAUUAUAAUAUGUCAUUGGAACGUUUGAUUAUAAUAAGUUAAUACAACUUUCAACAACGGAUCUCUUGGCUCUCGCAUCGAUGAAGAACGCAGCGAAAUGCGAUAAGUAAUGUGAAUUGCAGAAUUCAGUGAAUCAUCGAAUCUUUGAACGCACCUUGCGCUCCCUGGUAUUCCGGGGAGCAUGCCUGUUUGAGUGUCGUGAAGUCAUCAGGGUCAUGAUCUUUAAUUAAUCAUGGCUUGGAUUUGGAGGUUAUGUUGGCUUUCAGUCGACUCCUCUUAAAUGUAUUAGCUCAGUGUUUAAUGCUUAGAGCGGUUCACGGUGUGAUAAAUUAUCUACAAAAAACCCCACUAAGUUAGCUGGCUUCUAAUAGAUCCUUUGUGAUCACUUUGUGUAUUGACCUCAAAUCAG